RNAcentral lists this long non-coding RNA (300 nucleotides) under Junco hyemalis (dark-eyed junco). RNAcentral describes it as "lncRNA (ENSJHYG00000006577.1)". Lineage: Eukaryota; Metazoa; Chordata; Aves; Passeriformes; Passerellidae. The record is from RNAcentral.
GGGCGGUGCCCCAGGGCGGGGCUGCCGUGAGGGGCGGGCGGUGUCCCCGGACCCCGUCGCCCUCGGUCCCCGCCUGCCUCGGAGCCGGGAACCCCCAACACUGAGCCUUCCGGCUGGUCCUCCUGCAUCGCGUUCCCCAGAGGUGUUUUGGAACAGAGAAUGGGCCUCUUGGUCAGCACCAAGGGCUGGGGAACGGUCACAGUGAACACCCACCUGUUUUUUCCAGAGCAGCACAACUGGUCUAUAUGGAACAUACCGGGAAACCAAGUGGGCGAUUGCCUGUGCUGUUUAUUUUUAUAG